UGAUUAACUACUAGUACUUGUAUACGUUUACUUGCAAGGUUUGAUAUUAUGCGCUUCGACUGAUGGCAGGAUAUCAUGAAAGGCAACUAUAGCUACCUAUUAUUAUAACCGAAUCUAGAUAUAUGCAAAAAAUAAUGGGAUUAUAAAAGAAAAUGUCGGACAUUUGACCAUGAGUACUUUAAUGUUCCUCAUCAACAAAUGUACAUGUAACACAAACUCCGCAUCCUGCGGAACAGAUCAAUAUUCUGCAGAAGUACAGAAUGCCUCUCUAGCAUAACGCUGUCUUGAUUAUUUUGUAAGCAGAAUUCGAUCUUUCUCUUCAUUCUGUUCGGUUUACUUCAAUUACAACUAUCUAUUUCGAAUCGAAUAUAAGUUAGUUAUCUCCAUACAUCUUUAACUUACCUCUGAUAGAGAAGUUUGUGUGUAUCUCAUUCAAGAAAGGAAAUAUAUGGUCUCGGUAUUUACUUCACUUUGGACUUUAUAUGGAUGAAUUAUAAUUGCGCAAAUAACAUGUAAACAAGUGAAUCAAAAUUGAUUCUGAGCGUGUGCCAACAUUUCAUCAUUGGUACUAUAAAGAUCAGCAUCUAUGAUUCAGGAUUGACUCAACUUCUGAAUCAGAGGAACAGGUGCUGUCCACAUUAAAUUGUUGGAGGAGGGUUGCAAAUUUAUACCUAUUCUCGGCACUCGGGGCAAUAGAGGACAACAGCUUGUACACGUAUUUGAUUCCAAAUGGCAGCAUAGAGGACCAUGUCAACAUAACAAUAUAUACGACCAGUGCAAUGACAAAAAAAUAACUUGUUCAUCAUGUUAUAUUAAAUGAAAUAAAUAAAUGAUUUAGAAACA
Saccostrea cuccullata (small rock oyster) is the source of this 843-nucleotide long non-coding RNA. RefSeq lists it as uncharacterized. The transcript is spliced from 2 exons. NCBI's taxonomy places the organism in Eukaryota, Metazoa, Mollusca, Bivalvia, Ostreida, Ostreidae. The record is from RefSeq and is a predicted model, not a curated record.